RNAcentral lists this ribosomal RNA (503 nucleotides) under uncultured Glomeromycotina. RNAcentral's name for it is "partial small subunit ribosomal RNA". It matches the Rfam family "Eukaryotic small subunit ribosomal RNA", at positions 591 to 1092 of the family's 1831-position model. Lineage: Eukaryota; Fungi; Glomeromycota. The record is from RNAcentral.
CCAAUAGCGUAUAUUAAAGUUGUUGCAGUUAAAAAGCUCGUAGUUGAAUUUCGGGGUUCAUACGUUGGUCGGGCUUUUUUGGUCUGUACUUAUGUAAUGGAUUCCUACCUUCUGAAUAACCGGCAUGCCAUUAAUUUGGUGCGCCGGGGAAGCAGGACUGUUACCUUGAAAAAAUUAGAGUGCUUAAAGCAGGCUAUCGCCUGAAUACAUUAGCAUGGAAUAAUGAAAUAGGACGGCAUGGUUCUAUUUUGUUGGUUUCUAGGAUCACCGUAAUGAUUAAUAGGGAUAGUUGGGGGCAUUAGUAUUCAAUUGUCAGAGGUGAAAUUCUUGGAUUUAUUGAAGACUAACUUCUGCGAAAGCAUUUGCCAAGGAUGUUUUCAUUAAUCAAGAACGAAAGUUAGGGGAUCGAAGACGAUCAGAUACCGUCGUAGUCUUAACCAUAAACUAUGCCGACUAGGGAUCGGACGAUGUUAAUUUUUUAAUGACUCGUUCGGCGCCUUACG